This is a long non-coding RNA of Drosophila albomicans, 886 nucleotides long. RefSeq lists it as uncharacterized. The transcript has 3 exons. Lineage: Eukaryota; Metazoa; Arthropoda; Insecta; Diptera; Drosophilidae. The record is from RefSeq and is a predicted model, not a curated record.
UAUUCAAUAUAUAAUUUUUUUUGUCUGAAAACGGCUGGAACAUUCGAGUCUUAGUUGCUUUGGUCGACAAUCUGACAAAUUUUAUACUCUAUGCAAAAUUUUAAUUAUUGUAUUUUUUUCUGUGUAGAGAAAAGUCGAGGUCUGUAACAGGACACGGAACUGAAGCGGAAAAGUUCUAAGCUGCUGCUGUACGGAUAUUUUGUACUUCAGUGGAAACAACUAUUCAAGCAGCCGAAUAGUAAAUAUAAGAAGAAGAUGAUGUAAAUUACAAACACGUUCUAACAAACUGUGGCGUAUUCGGAGAAAGUAAAUUCAUAGCUUCCUCUGGAGGACACUAAAAAAUAGAAAACUGGUUUUAAAACUCUAAAAUUCUCCUGUCCCAGGACUCCAGUACGUUCAGUUCAUGGAUAUAAACAUAAAAAGCCGCUUUAUUGUCAAUUUUAAUACAUUUUGCAUUUUAUGCGAUUUGCAGGGCAACUGAAUAAUCCUUUUCUUUGUCAUAAAAAAGUUCACAGUCCUAGGGAUGGCGAAACAAAAAAUAAUGAAACAAGUAAGAAAGCUACAAUCGAGUGUGGCCCUUUAAGAUACCGGUACCCGUUUUCAAUAAAAGCGAAACAUUGCGGUAAUUUUACUACAAUAAACCAAAUGAAUAUACCGAAAAAAUAUACCGAAGGCUAUAUAUCAGAUAUGGAUAUAACUACAUAUAUAUUGACGACCAAGAUAUGUCCCACAAAGUGAAAGCUAAAACCGCCAUAAGAAUCCGAACCAUAUGAGACUCUUCUUGUUCAGCUAAUCCAUUUAUUAUUACUAUAACUUAACUUUUGAGCCAUUUAAAUCACUGCUUGAGCUUGUUUGUGACAUUUGAUUCGAGAUAACUGCAAACUGG